GGAUGGGAUCAUACCAGCACUAAUACACCGGAUCUCAUCAGAACUCCGCAGCUAAGCUUUCUUGGGCGAGAGUAGUACUAGGAUGGAUGACCUCCCGCGAAGUCCUCGUGUUGCAUCCC
This 119-nucleotide ribosomal RNA is filed under the name Arabidopsis suecica. The record is from RNAcentral. Lineage: Eukaryota; Viridiplantae; Streptophyta; Magnoliopsida; Brassicales; Brassicaceae.